Micropterus salmoides (largemouth bass) is the source of this 1694-nucleotide long non-coding RNA. RefSeq lists it as uncharacterized. Lineage: Eukaryota; Metazoa; Chordata; Actinopteri; Centrarchiformes; Centrarchidae. The record is from RefSeq and is a predicted model, not a curated record. The transcript has 2 exons.
AUCCAGUCUUUGUCCCCAUGCAGAGCGAGGAGGAGAGCACCAGACACCUGCUGUUCAGACAGAAACACUUAUCCGUCCACGACAUCCAAGAGGUCGAUGUCACGUGAUGAAGCUGAGAGUCCUGAGGUUCAAGGAGGGACUGUGAAACUGAUGAUCUGCAGCCUCGUCAUGACACAAACACUUCCUGUCGGGUAUUGAAGUAGUACUUCUGUACAGUCAGAGUAUUACCUGCUGUGGACAGGGUUUUGUCCCAACCCGGCUCAGAGGGAGGACAAAGAGGAGAGGACAGCACAGGAAUUCUAACUAAAGAUUUAUUUAACAAAAUGUAAAUUAACCACUGGAUCUAACAAGCAUGUUAAUCAGUAACCUCAGCAGCCUGUUGUGUGUCUGUAUGUGUGCACAGUGAAGUGUGGCGAAAAAAUACACAAGGAGAAACCGAACCCAGACAGCAGGCCAUCGACCCAGAGAGACUGGACCCAGCAACUUAUAGCCCAGCAGCAGCAGGUGGUGAUCAGUAACCGUAGCUGCGUAGAAAUGCAGUCCCAUAGACCUGAGAAACAUGGACCUGAGAAACACGGACCCGAGGACCAUGGACAUGAGGACCACUGUGAUGGCCCCUCUGCAGGGUUCAUACUGUUGUUGGUGUGCUGUCUGUCUCCAGGGCUGCAGACCUGAUUGGCAGAGUAAUCAGUGGCGUGGGACACACCUGGGCCCUGGUGUGCCCCAUGCAUAUAAGCCAGAACAGCAGUCAGUCUGGGUUGGACCUCUUCAUCUCACGGCUUCCUUUGUUUGUUUGGUUUCUUGUCUUUGUUUUCACAGCACAACAUCCAUGCAGCACAUUUUCACUCAUCCACUCCCUACACUACUGACACUACAGAUUCUUCCCACUCACUGGUUUCACUUAUUUUCUUAUUAAUAAAUCACUUUGUUAUUUAGUUUACCCUUGUGUCUCCCGUUUUUGUUACAGUCAAACAUGGACUUGACGACCACAGACCUGAGGUCUUCAGGAAUGUGUUUCAACUGGUUGUAAUAGUUCAUGUCAAUUGGUAUCGGCUGUGUUUCACGCUGUCCAGCUGACCUGCGGCCUCAGCUCAUGAAGUCUUUUGUCCACAGCAGGGACUCGCUCUGCUUCCCGGCCUGGACUCUGACUGUGGAUAAGGUAUUGAAAGAAACAUAAUGAAUUACAGGUUUUUAAUAACGACCAUGUGAGCUCCAGGACUGUGAUGAGGAGGAGGACUCAGGAAGGAUGCUCGUCUUGGUUAAAUAUUAACCACUUGGCGUCUCGUGGAGAUUUCAGGUGUGCAGGAGUCGGUUCACCUGCUGCCAGUCAUCUUCCCUCCGCUCUGCUUCAGAGACCUGGUUCCUGUCUCAACACUCCAGAUCGUAGCCUGAGCCAGAUGUCAGUUUCGGUCCAGGGAAGUUUGUUCUGCCUUGUGUAUCUGACACCUGAACCCGACAGCCUCCUUGUCCGGACCUGACUCCUGCCUCGCUGCAUUUAUGUUUUCACCUACAACAGUCUUAACACAAUAUGUGGCUUUUUAGACCAGGUUUGAUUCAACAAAACAAUAAGGAGCACUAAAACUGUUUCCUUUCAACCAGCUCAGGGCGUUGUCUGUAAUUCAGUGUGACUAAUAUGUAAAAACUGCAUUUCAGUUUAAUGAGUUAUCUUUUAAAUAAACCUUCAUGGAGACACA